Molecule: transfer RNA, 64 nt
Filed under: Chlorotocus crassicornis
Lineage: Eukaryota; Metazoa; Arthropoda; Malacostraca; Decapoda; Pandalidae
Description: tRNA-Ala
Source: RNAcentral
GGAGUUAUAGUCAAAAAUGAUACUUGGGUUGCAUUCAAGAGGUGCUCUAAAAGAGCUAACUUUA